CCUACGGGUGGCUGCAGUGAGGAAUAUUGGUCAAUGGGCGGGAGCCUGAACCAGCCAAGUCGCGUGAGGGAAGACGGUCCUAUGGAUUGUAAACCUCUUUAGGCGGGGAGCAAUGCCGGGCACGCGUGCCCGGAGGGAGAGUACCCGCAGAAUAAGCAUCGGCUAACUCCGUGCCAGCAGCCGCGGUAAUACGGAGGAUGCGAGCGUUAUCCGGAUUUAUUGGGUUUAAAGGGUGCGUAGGCGGUCUGUUAAGUCAGCGGUAAAAUUGCGGGGCUCAACCCCGUCGAGACGUUGAAACUGGCAGACUUGAGUUGGCGAGAAGUACGCGGAAUGCGCGGUGUAGCGGUGAAAUGCUUAGAUAUGACGAAGAACCCCGAUUGCGAAGGCAGCUUGCUGCAGCGGAACUGACGCUGAUGCUCGAAAGCGCGGGUAUCGAACAGGAUUAGAUACCCGGGUAGUC
Molecule: ribosomal RNA, 460 nt
Filed under: uncultured bacterium
Lineage: Bacteria
Description: partial 16S ribosomal RNA
Rfam family: Bacterial small subunit ribosomal RNA
Source: RNAcentral